UCUCUUUCGAACUCUCUCCAAGACCCACAACAACAAGAAGGAUCAGAGCAGAACAAGGAACCAGAUGUGGAACAAUGAGCAAAGAAUCCCUGUCACAGAGAAAUACAAGCAAAAGAAAUGGUCAGACGAGCCCCAGGGUGAGGAAAGAUAGAAGAAUCGGCCCCAAGACGAGGUGAGGAAGACGACGAGGAACAGCUUAAAACAGUGAAGAAGACGACAGAACCAGGAAGAGGGAAAACGAAAAUGAAGAAGAGCUCUGGAUAAGAAUAAGACAGCUUCGGACAAGAGCAGAUACCAAACUGAUGCUGGACUGAUGCUGGACUGAUGCUGGACUGAGACUGGACUGAGACUGGACUCAAAGGAGAAAAAAAAAGGAGAAAAAGCCUCAAAUAAAAGGAUCGGCUGGGCCUCGCAGCGAUGGACAAAGCUGGAAAGCUGGUUUUUCUGGCCACCGAGGGCGACCACCUGCAGUUUACCAGAGAGUGGUUCAAUGCCAACCUGCUGCCUUACUUACGCUAGAGCACGUCUGCAUGCCCAUGGAUUAUUUCAACAUUGUACAUUUUCAUAGCUGCACUUGAUUUAAGAGCAAUAUAAUGGAGGUUAUGGGUAAACUGGAAAACGUGUGCAGACAGCACAUGAUUCCUUCCUUUUGCCCUGAUCACUUCAUGACAGUCGAUUCUUGUUUUGUGAUGCCAUAUUAAUAUGAUCAGGUUGUUAGUAUGUUAGCUUACUCCUGUACUACCACUACUGGGCUGUUAAUGUCAUUUUAAAUGUGAGCUGCUCUGAUGAGGUCAACUGUUGGCAGAAAUAUUGUUUUGUUUUUUUUGUUUUGUUUUUUUUUUUGUAAAGGUUUUAGAAUAAGAAAAGGCCUAAAAUAAAUCAUUUUACUGUAAAAUGAUGCUUCUGUACAUAUUAUGCAUUUCAUCCAAUAAAGAUGCCAAGAAAAAGAUCUCUUGACUAAUGAGCAGAUUUCUGUUUUCAAAAAAGUUUUUAUUUCAAAGACAAAUGUACCAAUGCAAAAAUGUUAACAUGAAAAUUGGACAGAAAGAGCUAAGAUGUAAAAAAAAUGUCCAUUUUGUCUAAAUGUGUGGUCUUUAACUGCAGCCAGCUAACUAGUGACGGAAUAUUACAGCGUACAGGUGAACUAGUGAAGGCCGAACGUCCACCAGUUGAGUUUGUUUGGGUCUUCCUGGCCUUACUGGUGAGGGGGAAAAAAAAGGUACUAAUUAAGUAACGCGUGCCAAAACGUCCAUUACUUACAUUAGUGGGGAUGUUUGGACCUUAUUAGGUUAAUUAGCAAACCUCAGUGUGUUCCCUAGUAGAAGCCAAAGUGUUUAUUUUAUCAUUUUUGAAGUGGUCUGCCGGAGUGGCACAGCUUGCAGAAUGUUACAGAGUUCAAAGACGGGCAGGGGCGGAGCCAAUGGAUGAGCAUUCCAUGGGUGUGUGUG
This is a long non-coding RNA of Amphiprion ocellaris (clown anemonefish), 1448 nucleotides long. The record is from Ensembl. NCBI's taxonomy places the organism in Eukaryota, Metazoa, Chordata, Actinopteri, Pomacentridae.